AACGAACGCUGGCGGCAUGCCUAACACAUGCAAGUCGAACGAGACCUUCGUGUCUAGUGGCGCACGGGUGCGUAACGCGGGGGAACCUGCCCUUAGGUUCGGAAUAACUCCCCGAAAGGGGAGCUAAUACCGGAUAAUGUCUUCGGACCAAAGAGUUAUCGCCUUUGGAUGGGCCCUCGUUGGAUUCGUUAGUUGGUAGGGUACAAGCCUACCAAGGCGACGAUCCAUAGCUGGUCUGAUAGGAGGACCAGCCACACUGGGAAUGCGACACGGCCCAGAACCGUACGGGGGGGAGGGGUAGGGAACACUAUACGAGGGGCCAAAAUCCAGCACAGCAGUGCGGGGGGUGACGUGAAUGCCUUAGGGUUGUACAGCCCUUUUUCCCGGGAUGAUAAUGACAGUACCGGGAGAAUAAGCUCCGGCUAACUCCGUG
RNAcentral lists this ribosomal RNA (433 nucleotides) under uncultured bacterium. RNAcentral's name for it is "partial 16S ribosomal RNA". It matches the Rfam family "Bacterial small subunit ribosomal RNA", at positions 29 to 507 of the family's 1533-position model. The record is from RNAcentral.